RNAcentral lists this small RNA (106 nucleotides) under Marmota monax (woodchuck). The record is from RNAcentral. Lineage: Eukaryota; Metazoa; Chordata; Mammalia; Rodentia; Sciuridae.
GCCAAGUGUAGUGGUGCAUACUUGUAAUUCUAGCUACUUGGAAGGCUGAGACAGGAUGAUCCCAGGUUCCAAGGUCAGCCUGGGCAACUUGGGAAAACCCUGUCCA